This 440-nucleotide ribosomal RNA is filed under the name uncultured bacterium. RNAcentral's name for it is "partial 16S ribosomal RNA". It matches the Rfam family "Bacterial small subunit ribosomal RNA", at positions 338 to 795 of the family's 1533-position model. The record is from RNAcentral.
CCUACGGGUGGCUGCAGUGGGGAAUAUUGCACAAUGGACGAAACUCUGAUGCAGCGACGCCGCGUGCGUGAAGAAGUAAUUCGUUAUUUAAAGCUGUAUCUGCAGGGAGGAAAAUGACGGUACCUGAAUAAGAAGCCCAGGCUAACUACGUGCCAGCAUCCGCGGUAAUACGUAGGGGGCAAGCGUUAUCCGGAUUUACUGGGUGUAAAGGGAGCGUAUACGGCAGUACAAGUCUGGAGUGAAAGGCGGGGGCUCAACCCCCGGACUGCUCGGGAAACUGUACGGCUGGAGUGUAGGAGAGGUAAGUGGAAUGUCUAGUGUAGCGGUGAAAUGCGUAGAGAUUAGGCGGAACACCAGUGGCGAAGGCGGCUUACUGGACUGUAACUGACGUUGAGGCUCGAAAGCGUGGGGAGCAAACAGGAUUAGAUACCCUAGUAGUC